UACGGAGGGUGCAAGCGUUAUCCGGAUUUACUGGGUUUAAAGGGUGCGUAGGUGGGUCUGUAAGUCAGUGGUGAAAUCUCCGAGCUUAACUCGGAAACUGCCAUUGAUACUGACGGUCUCGAGUCCGGGAGAGGUGAGUGGAACUGCGAGUGUAGAGGUGAAAUUCGUAGAUAUUCGCAAGAACACCAGUGGCGAAGGCGGCCUGCUGGGCUGUUGCUGACGCUGAGGCGCGACAGCGUGGGGAGCAAACAGG
RNAcentral lists this ribosomal RNA (253 nucleotides) under uncultured bacterium. RNAcentral describes it as "partial 16S ribosomal RNA". It matches the Rfam family "Bacterial small subunit ribosomal RNA", at positions 524 to 776 of the family's 1533-position model. The record is from RNAcentral.